CCUACGGGAGGCUGCAGUGGGGAAUAUUGCGCAAUGGGCGAAAGCCUGACGCAGCGACGCCGCGUGAGGGACGAAGGCCUUCGGGUUGUAAACCUCUUUCAGCGGGGACGAAGCGAAAGUGACGGUACCCGCAGAAGAAGCACCGGCUAACUACGUGCCAGCAGCCGCGGUAAUACGUAGGGUGCAAGCAUUGUCCGGAUUUAUUGGGCGUAAAGAGCUCGUAGGCGGCUUGUCACGUCGGAUGUGAAAACUCGGGGCUCAACCCCGAGCCUGCAUUCGAUACGGGCUAGCUAGAGUGUUGCAGGGGAGACUGGAAUUCCUGGUGUAGCGGUGAAAUGCGCAGAUAUCAGGAGGAACACCGGUGGCGAAGGCGGGUCUCUGGGCAACUACUGACGCUGAGGAGCGAAAGCGUGGGGAGCGAACAGGAUUAGAUACCCCAGUAGUC
Molecule: ribosomal RNA, 445 nt
Filed under: uncultured Sporichthya sp.
Lineage: Bacteria; Bacillati; Actinomycetota; Actinomycetes; Sporichthyales; Sporichthyaceae
Description: bacterial SSU rRNA
Rfam family: Bacterial small subunit ribosomal RNA
Source: RNAcentral